UGCUUUGUAGAAUGGUGUGUAACAGAAC
Molecule: small RNA, 28 nt
Filed under: Bombyx mori (domestic silkworm)
Lineage: Eukaryota; Metazoa; Arthropoda; Insecta; Lepidoptera; Bombycidae
Description: ovarian small RNA-8652
Source: RNAcentral